GGUUCAUCCCCACACCUGCGCGGGGGUUGGGGGUGGAAUGUGGACCGUGCAUUCCAGCGCUGGGGCCAGCGGGGGAGAGCUUCCACGUAGGGGCUGCGUGAGGAGCUCAGCCGCCCCGCACACCGAAGAAAAAGGUUCAAGCGUGCGGACCCCGCCCGCCCUCCAGGGAGCGGCCCGGCCAGGCCGAGGGCAAGGCAGUGGAGUACCUGAAGGAGGAGGCACACUAGAGGCCUGCUAAGAAGCCCCAUAACUGCAGAGGGAAGGGUGGAAAAGCUGCCGGGAUAGCGGACUGGGGCUUCGUGAAGCUCUCUGCACCCCUUUGAGCGCCGCGGCUCGCGGGAGCCAGCGGGAGCGAGCCAGCCUCCGCAGCACGCGAAGAAAAAUGUUUCUGUGCCCUGAGGCUACGGUGGAAAAAAGUGGAGACGCAUCUGAACCCGACUGGAACAGGCGCUCGUGCGGGCUCCUCCGAGGCGCUCUGUUAUCCAAAGUUUUGA
Molecule: non-coding RNA, 494 nt
Organism: Manis javanica (Malayan pangolin)
Lineage: Eukaryota; Metazoa; Chordata; Mammalia; Pholidota; Manidae
Source: RefSeq, a predicted model, not a curated record